RNAcentral lists this ribosomal RNA (465 nucleotides) under Vreelandella stevensii. RNAcentral describes it as "partial 16S ribosomal RNA". It matches the Rfam family "Bacterial small subunit ribosomal RNA", at positions 338 to 795 of the family's 1533-position model. Lineage: Bacteria; Pseudomonadati; Pseudomonadota; Gammaproteobacteria; Oceanospirillales; Halomonadaceae. The record is from RNAcentral.
CCUACGGGUGGCAGCAGUGGGGAAUAUUGGACAAUGGGCGAAAGCCUGAUCCAGCCAUGCCGCGUGUGUGAAGAAGGCCUUCGGGUUGUAAAGCACUUUCAGUGGGGAAGAAAGCCUUGGGGCUAAUACCCUCGAGGAAGGACAUCACCCACAGAAGAAGCACCGGCUAACUCCGUGCCAGCAGCCGCGGUAAUACGGAGGGUGCGAGCGUUAAUCGGAAUUACUGGGCGUAAAGCGCGCGUAGGCGGUCUGAUAAGCCGGUUGUGAAAGCCCCGGGCUCACCCUGGGAACGGCAUCCGGAACUGUCAGGCUAGAGUGCAGGAGAGGAAGGUAGAAUUCCCGGUGUAGCGGUGAAAUGCGUAGAGAUCGGGAGGAAUACCAGUGGCGAAGGCGGCCUUCUGGACUGACACUGACGCUGAGGUGCGAAAGCGUGGGUAGCAAACAGGAUUAGAUACCCCUGUAGUC